Molecule: ribosomal RNA, 465 nt
Filed under: Araneus angulatus
Lineage: Eukaryota; Metazoa; Arthropoda; Arachnida; Araneae; Araneidae
Description: partial 16S ribosomal RNA
Rfam family: Bacterial large subunit ribosomal RNA
Source: RNAcentral
CGUGCUAAGGUAGCAUAAUCAUUAGCCUUUUAAUUAAGGGCUCGUAUGAAUGGUGAAACAUUUCAAAUACUUUAUUUAUUAAUAUUUUUAAACUUAAAUUAAGAAUAAAAAUGUUCUUAUUCUAAAAAUAGACGAUAAGACCCUUUUGAACUUUACUUUUGUUUUGCUGGGGCAGCAAAAUAAAAAUAAUCUUAUUUUCUUUUAAUAAAGACCCAAUAACAUUGAUUUUAUGAACAAGUUACCAUAGGGAUAACAGCGUAAUAUCUUUCUAAAGCUCUUAUUGAAAAAGAGGAUUACGACCUCGAUGUUGAAUUAAUGUAACUUUAAAGUAGAAAUCUUAAAAGUAGGUCUGUUCGACCAUUAAAACAUUACAUGAUUUGAGUUCAAAUCGGUGUAAACCAGAUUGGUUUCUAUCUUUUUAUUUUUUUUAUUCAGUACGAAAGGACCAAUAAAUUUAUUUUUAAU